GCCCUACUGCUUCUCCAGAAACUUCCGCUUCCGCUUCUUAAAAAGAACAGAACACAAAAACACACCUUCUGAAAGUAAACAAGUUCCGUUGCUCCCACUUCUCCCAGUUUUACUAUUAAUUAAAAUAAAAAUAAAAUGUUCAAGAAGGCGAUUGAGGCAAAAUCUCAUCAGAGACUCUCUGGAGCUGACCGGAAAAAGCUCAAACGAACUAUCAGAGACCGCUUUCAUCGGGCCUCCGAUGCUGAUAUAGAUGCUUUGCUCCCUCCCAAAGCGGAAAUUACUGUUUCAAAGUUUGUAAAUAGGGUUCAUUUAUAUGGUGUUGAAGGUAGCUUUCCUAUGUUUUUCGAUGUUGAUGGCCGAGGCUCUGAAAUUUUCCCCACAGUUUUUGCCCUCUGGAAGGUCCCUGAGAUGUUGCCUUCUUUCAUUCUGAAAGGGGGUGAGGUAUCUCGAUUUGUCAUUGGAGGAGCAGAUCUGAUGUUUCCUGGUAUUAGUAUACCUGCUGAAGGCCUUCCUUCUUUUCUAGAAGGUGAGCCAUGGGCUGUAAAAGUUCCUGGGAAUCCAGCACCUAUUGCCGUUGGGUCUACCACUAUGAGCACUGCUGAAGCCUUGAAGGCUGGUUUGCGCGGAAAGGCCUUACGGAUAACUCAUUAUUAUCGGGAUUUACUUUGGGAGUCAGUUGAGGGACAUUAUGUGCCAAAUGCAGGUUUCCUUGAAGAUGUUGUCUUUGAGGAUCCUGUAUUCUUAUCAUCUGCCCAGGUUCCUGAUUCAUGUGAAGGUUCUGGUGAUUCUUCAAAUCAUGAGAAUGAUGGUGUUGACAGCAAAGAAGUUGGGGAAUCUGCUGAUGUAAAAGAUCCCAUAUCAGACAGUCAUCCCACUUCCAAGACACAACUUGAUUCUGAUACUGAUAUUGUAGAACAAGUAACAAAAGCUAUAGGUGGUUUUAAGGUUACGGAUAAUAUUGCUGCUGAUGAAUCCACCACAGUUGUUGAAGAACAGCAUACUUUGUCUGCUGAAGACUUAGAUGCUUAUUUGGACAAAUGUCUUUUGCAAGCCCUGCAUACAACUGUCAAUGACAAAGAUCUUCCAAUGCCAGGAAGCACUUUAUGGUCCAACCAUGUAUUACCUUGUAGACCUUCAGGUAUCACACUAGAUAUCAAAAAAUCAUCACACAAGAAAUUGUCCAAGUGGUUACAAGCUAAAUCAUCUUCAGGAUUGAUUUCGGUAAAAGAAGACAAAUAUAAAAAGGAAACUGUCCUAUUUUCUGUGAACCGCAGUCACCCAGACUACUUAUCCUUCAAACCAGAAAGAAGGCAGGAGCAGAAGGUUGAUCAGGGUGGUGAUCAGGCUGUUAAAGAAACCCGAUCACCAAAACUGCUUGAAGUGUCUGAGAUUUAUAAACCAAGUGUACAUGUCAAUCCCAUUUUUGCUUUUGUUGGAGCUGAUACUGGGAAGCUAUACAGUGCUUCAGAAGCCUCUGAUGUUGUAUUCAAGUACAUUGAGAAAGGACAUCUGGUAAAGCCAAUGAACAAGUCCAUUGUGGUUCUGGAUCCAACCUUAUGUGAUGCUUUGUUCAAGGGAGCUAUCAAGAAAGGAUCAGCAUACCCGACUGAGAUUCAUAAGAAAGAUUUAGGAUCUACAUUUGUAAGCCGGAUGCAGGCCCACUACAUUGUAACCAGAGGAAGCGAAUCAGUUGUUCGUAAAGGUUCAGUGAGAACAAUUCAGAUAUUGACUGAAAGACGUCAAGGUAACAAGAAGGUGACAAAACUCUCAGGCAUGGAAACAUUCUUGAUGGAUGCUGAUGCAUUAGCAUCAGAACUGCAGAAAAAGUUUGCUUGUAGUACAUCAGUGUCAGAGUUACCAGGUAAGAAAGGGCAUGAGGUUCUUAUUCAAGGUGGUGUAAUUGAUGACCUGGCAAGACAUCUGGUUGAACAGUAUGGGGUGCCCAAAAGAUACAUUGAAGUUCUUGAUAAAACUAAAAAAUAAGAUGUGAUUAUCGUUAUACAUGUUUAAUGCAUGUGAUGUUAAACUGGAUCUGGAGCGUGCCAAGGCAAAAGGCCAUAUCACUGGGCCUUGAUUAACAAGCAGUGAUGAUGCUCUUGUGCUUGCAUGUAAAGUGGUGAUGGCAUAUACAAGUGUCACUGUCAUGAGGUUACAGGAGGCAAUGGAAUGGUGUGAUAACAACUUUCAACCUCACUCUCUAUGGUUUGUUGAAGUUAAUGGAUGCAAUCCAGAAACGGGUGCUGAAGAGAGGUUAGAAUAAUUCUUAAACUUGCCUCAAUACAAUGAAAAGAGUGUACAGAAGUUCUUGCGCUCCAGAGUAUAGGUAUAUGAAGUUUCUUUUCGUGGAGAUGAUUAGCUGUUUUAUCUUACUCGAAUUGAGUUGACUAUGGUCUGGUUUAGAGGACUGCUCAAAGCUGUGUUUUGGUAUCUGGUCAACUCUUUACCGCACCUCAUAGUUAUGCAACAUACAUUUCAACACUUCAUGUCACAAGUUGCGAAUUAAUAUGUUUAUUUGUAAGUUUUUAUGUUGACUAUGCGAGUCUUCAAUGUUACUAGGAAUGCAAGUGUGCAUUGUAAAGAUCA
Molecule: RNA transcript, 2583 nt
Organism: Populus euphratica (Euphrates poplar)
Lineage: Eukaryota; Viridiplantae; Streptophyta; Magnoliopsida; Malpighiales; Salicaceae
Gene name: eukaryotic translation initiation factor 2D
Exons: 10
Source: RefSeq, a predicted model, not a curated record